UGGAUGACUCCCGGCCAACGGCCCUAAAGU
RNAcentral lists this non-coding RNA (30 nucleotides) under Rattus norvegicus (Norway rat). Lineage: Eukaryota; Metazoa; Chordata; Mammalia; Rodentia; Muridae. The record is from RNAcentral.